AUUGAACGCUGGCGGCAUGCCUUACACAUGCAAGUCGAACGGCAGCACGGGUGCUUGCACCUGGUGGCGAGUGGCGAACGGGUGAGUAAUAUAUCGGAACGUACCUUAUCGUGGGGGAUAACGCAGCGAAAGCUGCGCUAAUACCGCAUACGCCCUGAGGGGGAAAGCGGGGGACCGUAAGGCCUCGCGCGAUUAGAGCGGCCGAUAUCUGAUUAGCUUGUUGGUGGGGUAAAAGCCCACCAAGGCGACGAUCAGUAGCUGGUCUGAGAGGACGAUCAGCCACACUGGGACUGAGACACGGCCCAGACUCCUACGGGAGGCAGUAGUGGGGAAUUUUCCACAAUGGACGAAAGUCUGAUGGAGCAACGCCGCGUGCAGGAUGAAGGCCUUCGGGUUGUAAACUGCUUUUAUCUGUGAAGAUUAUGACGGUAGCAGAUGAAUAAGGAUCGGCUAACUCCGUG
Molecule: ribosomal RNA, 461 nt
Filed under: uncultured bacterium
Lineage: Bacteria
Description: bacterial SSU rRNA
Rfam family: Bacterial small subunit ribosomal RNA
Source: RNAcentral